Molecule: non-coding RNA, 28 nt
Filed under: Homo sapiens (human)
Lineage: Eukaryota; Metazoa; Chordata; Mammalia; Primates; Hominidae
Source: RNAcentral
UGAGCUCGCGCACUGAGCUGCUGGCGGC